Molecule: long non-coding RNA, 229 nt
Filed under: Triticum aestivum (bread wheat)
Lineage: Eukaryota; Viridiplantae; Streptophyta; Magnoliopsida; Poales; Poaceae
Description: long non-coding RNA (TAES_LNC008393)
Source: RNAcentral
AGUGUUGCUGACUGACACUGAACGAUGCAACGAUGGCAGCAUUUCUUCGCGUCGGUGGAGAAGGCCAGCAAGGACCUCGGGGUUACGCCGGAGUACGACCUCCUCGACGGCUUGACGGACUCGUACAACCUUGACUUCGGCCGCGGGACCUUCAGGAAGGAGGCCGACUUCACCACGGACGACAUGAUCCUCGGCAAGAAGCUCGUGAGCGUGUGAGCCGACCUGAGGC